GGGAGCCGCUGUGGUUGUAGUGGGAGCCGCUGUGGUUGUAGUGGGAGCCGCAGUGGUUGUAGUGGGAGCCGCUGUGGUUGUAGUGGGAGCCGCUGUGGUUGUAGUGGGAGCAGCUGUGGUUGUAGUGGGAGGCGCUGUGGUUGUAGUGGGAGCAGCUGUGGUUGUAGUGGGAGAUGCUGUGGUUGUAGUGGGAGCCACUGUGGUUGUAGUGGGAGCCGCUGUGGUUGUUGUGGGAGACGCAGUGGUUGUUGUGGGAGCCGCUGUGGUUGUUGUGGGAGUCGCUGUUGUUGUUGUGGGAGCUUCUGUAGUUGUUGUGAGGUAAGCUGUAGUUGUUGUGGGAGCUUCUGUGGUUGUAGUGGGAGCCACUGUGGUUGUAGUGGGAGCCACUGUGGUUGUAGUGGGGGCGCUGUGGAUGUAGUGGGAGCAGCUGUGGUUGUAGUGGGAGCCACUGUGGUUGUAGUGGGAGGCGCUGUGGUUGUAGUGGGAGCAGCUGUGGUUGUAGUGGGAGCUGAUGUGGUUGUAGUGGGAGCAGCUGUGGUUGUAGUGGGAGCCGCUGUGGUUGUAGUGGGAGCCGCUCUGGUUGUAGUGGGAGCCGCUGUGGUUGUAGUGGGGGUGCUGUGGUUGUAGUGGGAGCCGCUGUGGUUGUAGUGGGAGCCGCUGUGGUUGUAGUGGGGGCGCUGUUGUUGUAGUGGGAGCAGCUGUGGUUGUAGUGGGAGCCGCUGUGUUUGUAGUGGGAGCCGCUGUGGUUGUAGUGGGAGCAUCUGUGGUUGUAGUGGGAGCCGCUGUGGUUGUAGUGGGAGCCGCUGUGGUUGUAGUGGGAGCCGCUGUGGU
Oncorhynchus tshawytscha (Chinook salmon) is the source of this 831-nucleotide long non-coding RNA. The record is from Ensembl. Lineage: Eukaryota; Metazoa; Chordata; Actinopteri; Salmoniformes; Salmonidae.